GGCGAGGUAGCCAAGCGGUCUAAGGCGCCAGACUAAGGUUUUCAACACAUUCCGAGUUUCUAAGCUCAUCGAUAGAGUUUGCCAACGCGACAUCUGGUUCUUCGGAGCGUGGGUUCGAAUCCCACCCUCGUCA
RNAcentral lists this transfer RNA (133 nucleotides) under Rhizoctonia solani AG-1 IB. It matches the Rfam family "tRNA". Rfam says of the family: Transfer RNA (tRNA) molecules are approximately 80 nucleotides in length. Their secondary structure includes four short double-helical elements and three loops (D, anti-codon, and T loops). Further hydrogen bonds mediate the characteristic L-shaped molecular structure. tRNAs have two regions of fundamental functional importance: the anti-codon, which is responsible for specific mRNA codon recognition, and the 3' end, to which the tRNAs corresponding amino acid is attached (by aminoacyl-tRNA synthetases). tRNAs cope with the degeneracy of the genetic code in two manners: having more than one tRNA (with a specific anti-codon) for a particular amino acid; and 'wobble' base-pairing, i.e. permitting non-standard base-pairing at the 3rd anti-codon position. The record is from Rfam by way of RNAcentral. Lineage: Eukaryota; Fungi; Basidiomycota; Agaricomycetes; Cantharellales; Ceratobasidiaceae.